AGUGAACGCUGGCGGUAGGCCUAACACAUGCAAGUCGAACGGCAGCACAGUAAGAGCUUGCUCUUACGGGUGGCGAGUGGCGGACGGGUGAGGAAUACAUCGGAAUCUACUUUUUCGUGGGGGAUAACGUAGGGAAACUUACGCUAAUACCGCAUACGACCUACGGGUGAAAGCAGGGGAUCUUCGGACCUUUCGCGAUUGAAUGAGCCGAUGUCGGAUUAGCUAGUUGGCGGGGUAAAGGCCCACCAAGGCGACGAUCCGUAGCUGGUCUGAGAGGAUGAUCAGCCACACUGGAACUGAGACACGGUCCAGACUCCUACGGGAGGCAGCAGUGGGGAAUAUUGGACAAUGGGCGCAAGCCUGACCCAGCCAUACCGCGUGGGUGAAGAAGGCCUUCGGGUUGUAAAGCCCUUUUGUUGGGAAAGAAAAGCAGCAGGUUAAUACCCGGCUGUUCUGACGGUACCCAAAGAAUAAGCACCGGCUAACUUCGUG
This 492-nucleotide ribosomal RNA is filed under the name uncultured bacterium. Its description in RNAcentral is "partial 16S ribosomal RNA". It matches the Rfam family "Bacterial small subunit ribosomal RNA", at positions 29 to 507 of the family's 1533-position model. The record is from RNAcentral.